RNA transcript from Capsicum annuum, 4935 nucleotides. It is a transcript of the gene named pentatricopeptide repeat-containing protein At4g20090, with no coding region annotated. Lineage: Eukaryota; Viridiplantae; Streptophyta; Magnoliopsida; Solanales; Solanaceae. The record is from RefSeq and is a predicted model, not a curated record. The transcript has 3 exons.
AAAUAGUACUUAAAAAAUUGAAGGAAAAAGAAUUAAAGAGAGACACUCCCCACCCGUUUUCUGCCCUACUCUUCUUCCUCGUCAGACUACAGAGAGCUUCUUCAUUUUCUUGAGCUUUCUCCAAGGAUUCUUGAUUAUAAACUUUAAACCCAAUAUAUACAUACAUGAUCAUUACAAUAAGCUUUUGGUGUUUCUGGAUGAGAAAUCUGAGUUGAAAAAGGCAUGCUCUUUAACAUUUCCACUACCAAACACUUCACCUCAAAGUUAAUCCCAUGUAAGUCUUUCUCUAAAUUCACCGUUACCCAUUUCUUUUCAGCACUUUCUAACCCCUUCUGUGGACCUGAAAUGGAAAUACCCAUUUCUGAUAACUGCUUUAAUUCUUGUAAAACUGAAGUAGAAGUUACCCCUUUUGAUAAAGUUGCAUCAAAACCCAACUUGGGUUUUCUUGAAACUGAAAUGGAAGGACCUGUUUCAGAUAAGUUGUUUGAAGAAACCUCAAAGUUGGGUUCUUUUGAAACUGAAAUGGAAGUACGAAUUGCAGAUAAGUUAUUUAAAGAAACACCAAAGUUGGGUUCUCUUGAAACUGAUAUGAAAGUACCUGUGUCAGACAAUUUUUUUAAAGAGCCUCCAAAGUUGGGUUCUUUUGAAACAGAAGUGGAAGUACCUGUUUCAGAUAAGUUGUUUGAGGAGGCACCAAAGUUGGGUUCUUUUGAAAUUGAAAUGGAAGUACCAAUUUCAGACAGUUUGUUUAAAGAACCUCCAAAGUUGGGUUCUUUUGAAACAGAAGUGGAAGUACCAGUUUCAGAUAAGUUGUUUAAGGAGGCACCAAAGUUGGGUUCUUUUGAAAAUGAAGUGGAAGUACCAAUUUCAGACAAGUUAUUCAAAGAGGCACCAAAGUUGGGUUCUUUUAAAUUGGGUGAUUCUACAUUUUAUUCUCUUAUUGAGAAGUAUGCUAAUUCUGGGGAUUUCAGGUCUGUAGAGAUGGUUUUUGAUAGAAUGAAAUUUGAAAAAAGAGUCUUUAUUGAGAAGAGUUUUAUUGUAGUGUUUAGAGCUUAUGGAAAGGCUCGAUUGCCUGAAAAAGCUGUUGAAUUGUUUGAAAGAAUGGUGGAUGAGUUUAAAUGUAAACAAACUGUGAAGUCAUUUAAUUCUGUUUUUAAUGUGAUAGUUCAGACGGGGUUAUAUCGUCGUGCAUUGGAUUUUUAUGCAGAUGUUGUGAAUAAUAAUAGGAAUAUUAUGCCAAAUGUGCUUUCUUUUAAUUUAGUUAUUAAGACCUUGUGUAAGCUUCGGAGGGUUGAUAGAGCUAUGGAGGUGUUCAGAGAAAUGGGCACUUGGAAAUGUGAACCGGAUGUUUAUACGUACUGUACUUUGAUGGAUGGGUUGUGUAAGGUUGACCGGAUUGACGAGGCAGUUAUUCUUUUGGAUGAAAUGCAGAUAGAGGGAUGUUUUCCUGUUCCAGUAACAUUUAAUGUGUUGAUUAAUGGGCUUUGUCGGAAAGGUGACUUGGCUCGAGCUGCUAAGCUUGUGGAUAACAUGUUUCUUAAAGGGUGUGUUCCGAAUGAAGUGACAUAUAACACACUUAUACAUGGGUUAUGCCUGAAAGGUAAAUUGGAGAAAGCUGUUAAUUUAUUGGGUAGAAUGGUGUCAGAUAAGUAUGUACCAACUGAUGUAACCUAUGGAACGAUUAUCAAUGGGUUUGUUAAGCAAGGAAGAGCAACUGAUGGUGUGCAGAUCUUGUUGGCAAUGCAGGAGAAAGGGCAUCUGGCAAAUGAAUAUGUCUACUCAGCACUAGUUAGUGGGUUGUUCAAGGAGGGAAAACCUGAAGAGGCGGUAAAAAUAUGGAAGGAAAUGAUAGAAAAGGGAGUGAAGCCUAAUACAGUUACUUAUUCCGCUUUUAUAGAUGGCUUGUGUCGGGAAGGCAGACCAGACGUAGCUAAGGAGAUCCUUUCUGAGAUGAUUAAAAUGGGUUGCAGUCCCAAUGCUUUUACUUACUGCUCUCUGAUGAAAUGUUAUUUUAAAACCGGUGAUAGCAACAAGGCUAUACUUCUAUGGAAAGAAACCGGUGGUAUCACGUGCAAUGAAAUCUGCUACAGUGUACUCAUCCAUGGACUGUGUCAAGAUGGGAAGCUCAAAGAGGCUAUGAUGGUAUGGAAGCACAUGUUAGGCAAAGGAUUGGUCCCUGAUGCCGUGGCUUAUAGUUCAAUGAUUCACGGCCUUUGCAAUGCUGGGUCUGUGGACCAGGGAUUGAGACUCUUCAAUGAGAUGCUAUGUAGAGGAUCUGAUUUUCAGCCUGACGUAAUAGCAUUUAAUAUAAUUCUUAAUGCUUUAUGCAAGGCGGAUAGAAUUUCUCUAGCAGUUAAUCUAUUGAAUACGAUGUUGGAUCAAGGUUGUGAUCCUGACACAAUUACAUGUAAUAUUUUCUUGAAAACCUUAAAUGAAAAAGAAAAUCCAUCCCAAGAUGCAGAAGAUUUUCUGGAUAAGCUUGUGCUUCAACUGUACAGGCGGCAGAGAAUUGUAGGAGCUUCAACAAUUAUAGAAGUGAUGCUUCAAAAAUUUCUUUAUCCCAAGUCGUCUACUUGGGAAAUGAUUAUUCGAGAACUUUGCAAGCCAAAGAAGGUUCAAGGAGCUAUUAACAAGUGUUGGAGUGACCUUUUCAUCCGACAUUAGAGAUAAGUGGCACUCAGAAAUGUGGCCUGAAUUGGUAUUGAUGCUUUCUAAGAAGCAUUGCACAGGUUUUAGAAAAGUUCAAGAUAAUUUGAAAACGGUACAAACUCUACUGGUUCAUUGAAGAUUAAGUGUGAUGGAGCUCAAGUCCCAGAUUUCAUUGUAGGUAUAAAAAAAAACUUAUGCCUUGGGUUUUUCUAUGUCGUCUUCUGAGAUCUUAGAAGACGUUGGCUUCUUUGGUUGAUGAGCUAUGUCAUAAGUUGCAUGGAGGCCAAAAAUAACAUAAUAUAUCAGCAUUACAACUGUGCAUAUGCCAAAUCUUAUAAAUGCCUGAGCUCCUAAUGAUCCCAUGAGAAACAAGUUUAUUGCAACUGAGAGGGAUGGUAACCAUGGAACCAGUGGGACUCCCCAGACUUUUGGUAUUCUUUCCUGUGGCAAAAGAACCGAAAUUGCCAAAGUUGCCAGGAACCAAAGGGGAACAGUUACUGUGUAACCAAGCCAACCAUUAGGGUCCAGUCCCCAGUAAGCAGAAGUCCCAACGGAGGAUACAAUUAUGACCAGUACUAAGAAAGUUAGCUUCAAAAGAUUAUUCCGGGGGGUGAUACCUCUGACAUAGUAUCUCCUCACAAGCAGAGCAACAGCCAUCAUCGUGGAUGUAAGAAGGCUGCUUACAGAUAACAAACUUGACAAGACAUCCAGACUUGAAAAUAACGCUAUACAGGCACUUGCAAGUCUGAUCAAGAGAGUUGCAUUUAUGGGAGUUCCUGUCUUGGGGUGAACAAGUGCAAACCAUGGUGGAAUCAUGUGAACUCGUGCAAUAUGAGUGGCAUAGCGAGCCUGUCCAAUUGCUCCUGCCAAAAGGACAGUGGUCAUCCCCUUCAGAGCUCCAAGGGCAACCAGGUAUUUUGCCCAUUUCAUCCCCACGCGUUGAAAUGCAACAGCAUAGGCGGCGUUAGGGUCUAUAUCUGUAUACUUUUGCAUCAUACUCAGUGAAAGUGCCAUCAAGCAAUAUAUCAGGGUGAUAAUUGACAUUGAUCCUAGCAAUCCUAGUGGUAUAUCUUUGGAUGGAUUUUUUGCUUCCUCUGCCAUGGUUGCGAUGUUGUCAAAACCUCCAUAUGCAAAAUACACUAUUGCUGCUGCAACGAAGAUACCUUUGGCACCAUGUGGCAUAAAGGGUGUCAAAUUGGAGGUAUUGGCAUGAACAAAUCCAGCAACUAUGACAAAUAAAAUCACCACCAUAUUUACUGCUGAUGCAAUCCAGUUGAAGUAUGAAGUUCUUCUAGUGCCGCUUAUUGCAAUUAUUGAUGUAAUCACUAGAACUGCAACAGCUAUUGGAUCUAGUAAGUUGAACCCGUCUGUGAGAUUUGUAUGUAUACGUAAGGAGUUUGGAUGACGAUUCAAGAGAGCUGUAAAGUAAGAAGUCCAGGCUCUUGCUACCACCGCUCCACCAGCAAUGGAUCCAAGAAUUAUGUUUCCUGCUGUUAUAAAGGCUGCAAAGUCUCCCAGUUCUACUCUGAUGUAUGCAAAUGACCCUCCUGCUACAGGAAUUUCUACUGCAAAUUCUGUGUAGCAGAAGACAGAGAGCAUUGCUGAAAUGCCAGAAGCCACAUAGGAUAAAACAAUAGCUGGUCCGGCAUGCUCGUGAGCUUCUUGGCCAGUGAGUACGAAGAUACCUGCUCCAAUAACGGAGCCAAAGCCAAACCAGGUGAGAUCCCACCAACUAAGGCAACGUUUCAUCUCAUUCUCACUCUGUUUCUUUAGCUCCUCAAUCUCAUCAGCGUCCUCAGAACAGCUUGCAACUCGGUCCUUCAAUCUGGUAACUGUGUGUGACAGUGCUAAUCGAUAUGCGCUCCAAUUCUGAAAAGAAUCUUCUGGGAAGAAAUCUUGUUUGCUCCAUCUCCAGUAACUUCUUGGUUGUAUCUCAUCUCCCAUUUCACCAGCAGAGUCCAUUACUGUUAUUUUAUGCCUUUCAGGACUCAUUAUACUGUUACUAAAGGCUAGUAACUACUAGCUCAUUUGGGAUGUCCGUUGACCUCUACUGCUUAUAGGUUCAUUUUCUUGAUGGAGGAUUCCCAUGUCUUCAAUUAUUGUUGUUGAUAAGGUCGCCAAUGAGCCAAAUGUUGCUAACUUUAAACAAGCCGUUUUUUUGUUUUAUGCCGUAUGGUCUAUAGGAUAAAAAAGGAGCCAAUGGAAAAUUGGGCAUGUCAUUUAUGGAUAGGUACAGUUGAGUGUCAUAAUGUGCAUCUUUAUUGAAAUUAUCAACAAUCCAUUUUC